Molecule: transfer RNA, 92 nt
Filed under: Rhodospirillaceae bacterium
Lineage: Bacteria; Pseudomonadati; Pseudomonadota; Alphaproteobacteria; Rhodospirillales; Rhodospirillaceae
Also listed under: 1 other name
Description: tRNA-Pro
Source: RNAcentral
GCCCCCGUGCCGGAAAUAGGUAGACGGGCCAGCUUUGGGUGCUGGUGGGCCUCCAUAGGCCCGUCCGGGUUCGACCCCCGGCGGGGGCACCA